UAGCGGAGGAAAAGAAACCAACCGGGAUUGCCUUAGUAACGGCGAAGUGAAGCGGCAAAAGCUCAAAUUUGAAAUCUGGUACCUUCGGUGCCCGAGUUGUAAUUUGGAGAGGGCAACUUUGGGGCCGUUCCUUGUCUAUGUUCCUUGGAACAGGACGUCAUAGAGGGUGAGAAUCCCGUGUGGCGAGGAGUGCGGUUCUUUGUAAAGUGCCUUCGAAGAGUCGAGUUGUUUGGGAAUGCAGCUCUAAGUGGGUGGUAAAUUCCAUCUAAAGCUAAAUAUUGGCGAGAGACCGAUAGCGAACAAGUACAGUGAUGGAAAGAUGAAAAGAACUUUGAAAAGAGAGUGAAAAAGUACGUGAAAUUGUUGAAAGGGAAGGGCAUUUGAUCAGACAUGGUGUUUUGUGCCCUCUGCUCCUUGUGGGUAGGGGAAUCUCGCAUUUCACUGGGCCAGCAUCAGUUUUGGUGGCAGGAUAAAUCCAUAGGAAUGUAGCUUGCCUCGGUAAGUAUUAUAGCCUGUGGGAAUACUGCCAGCUGGGACUGAGGACUGCGACGUAAGUCAAGGAUGCUGGCAUAAUGGUUAUAUGCCGCCCGUCUUGAA
Molecule: ribosomal RNA, 597 nt
Filed under: Saccharomyces cerevisiae (brewer's yeast)
Lineage: Eukaryota; Fungi; Ascomycota; Saccharomycetes; Saccharomycetales; Saccharomycetaceae
Description: eukaryotic LSU rRNA
Rfam family: Eukaryotic large subunit ribosomal RNA
Source: RNAcentral